RNAcentral lists this ribosomal RNA (465 nucleotides) under Vreelandella stevensii. RNAcentral's name for it is "partial 16S ribosomal RNA". It matches the Rfam family "Bacterial small subunit ribosomal RNA", at positions 338 to 795 of the family's 1533-position model. Lineage: Bacteria; Pseudomonadati; Pseudomonadota; Gammaproteobacteria; Oceanospirillales; Halomonadaceae. The record is from RNAcentral.
CCUACGGGGAGCAGCAGUGGGGAAUAUUGGACAAUGGGCGAAAGCCUGAUCCAGCCAUGCCGCGUGUGUGAAGAAGGCCUUCGGGUUGUAAAGCACUUUCAGUGGGGAAGAAAGCCUUGGGGCUAAUACCCUCGAGGAAGGACAUCACCCACAGAAGAAGCACCGGCUAACUCCGUGCCAGCAGCCGCGGUAAUACGGAGGGUGCGAGCGUUAAUCGGAAUUACUGGGCGUAAAGCGCGCGUAGGCGGUCUGAUAAGCCGGUUGUGAAAGCCCCGGGCUCAACCUGGGAACGGCAUCCGGAACUGUCAGGCUAGAGUGCAGGAGAGGAAGGUAGAAUUCCCGGUGUAGCGGUGAAAUGCGUAGAGAUCGGGAGGAAUACCAGUGGCGAAGGCGGCCUUCUGGACUGACACUGACGCUGAGGUGCGAAAGCGUGGGUAGCAAACAGGAUUAGAUACCCCGGUCGUC